AAAGGGUUCUUUCUGCUCAAGCCAGCUGUCCUUGCUGUGGGGGACCAGGCAGAUAUUCCAGGGUUUUGGUGAUGGGGAGGCAUCCUGGAGCUGGAGCUAUAAAUUCCCCCUAGUCACCGCCAAAGGCCCGGCGGCCACAGAUGGACCUCAUCUCUGAGCUGAAACGGAGGCAGCAGAAGGAGCCACUCAUUUAUGAGAGCGACCGUGACGGGGCCAUUGAAGACAUCAUCACAGAUCUGCGGAACCAGCCCUACAUCCGCGCAGACACAGGCCGCCGCAGUGCCCGUCGGCGUCCCCCGGGCCCCCCACUGCAGGUCACCUCCGACCUCUCGCUGUAGCCGCUAUUUCUGCAGGUGGAUUCUGCAGGGGUGUGGGGCCGUGGACAGGCUGAGGCUCAAGGAAGGUGGUCCUCAGCUCGGCUGGCCGGGCAGCCCCUCCUCCGCUGUGGCCCGCCUCAAACGGGCUGGUGCAUCCUCCUCUUGGCCACAGAGGGCAGCAUCGCCCGCCCCUUCCCCCAAAUGCUGCUUGCAGCACCCACCCUAAAGCCCCCUCCAAAU
This 557-nucleotide long non-coding RNA is filed under the name Pan troglodytes (chimpanzee). Its description in RNAcentral is "long non-coding RNA NONPTRT007088". The record is from RNAcentral. Lineage: Eukaryota; Metazoa; Chordata; Mammalia; Primates; Hominidae.